RNAcentral lists this ribosomal RNA (254 nucleotides) under uncultured bacterium. RNAcentral describes it as "partial 16S ribosomal RNA". It matches the Rfam family "Bacterial small subunit ribosomal RNA", at positions 524 to 776 of the family's 1533-position model. The record is from RNAcentral.
UACGAAGGGGGGCUAGCGUUGCUCGGAAUUACUGGGCGUAAAGCGCACGUAGGCGGCUUUCUAAGUCGGAGGUGAAAUCCUGGAGCUCAACUCCAGAACUGCCUUCGAUACUGGAGAGCUUGAGUCCGGGAGAGGUGAGUGGAACUGCGAGUGUAGAAGUGAAAUUCGUAGAUAUUCGCAAGAACACCAGUGGCGAAGGCGGCCAACUGGUCCGGUACUGACGCUGAGGUGCGAAAGCGUGGGGAGCAAACAGG